UACGUAGGGGGCAAGCGUUAUCCGGAAUUACUGGGUGUAAAGGGAGCGUAGACGGUUAAGUAAGUCUGGAGUGAAAGGCCGGGGCCCAACCCCGGGACUGCUCUGGAAACUAUUGAACUUGAGUGCAGGAGAGGUAAGCGGAAUUCCUAGUGUAGCGGUGAAAUGCUUAGAGAUCAUACAGAACACCGAUUGCGAAGGCAGCUUACCAAGCUACUUCUGACGUUGAGGCACGAAAGCGUGGGGAGCAAACAGG
Molecule: ribosomal RNA, 253 nt
Filed under: uncultured Eubacteriales bacterium
Lineage: Bacteria; Bacillati; Bacillota; Clostridia; Eubacteriales
Description: uncultured Clostridiales bacterium partial 16S ribosomal RNA
Rfam family: Bacterial small subunit ribosomal RNA
Source: RNAcentral